GGGCGGUUAGCUCAGUUGGUUAGAGCACCUGCUCGACAAGCAGGGGGUCGUUGGUUCGAGUCCAAUACUGCCCACCA
This 77-nucleotide transfer RNA is filed under the name Firmicutes bacterium HGW-Firmicutes-11. RNAcentral's name for it is "tRNA-Val". It matches the Rfam family "tRNA". From Rfam's summary of the family: Transfer RNA (tRNA) molecules are approximately 80 nucleotides in length. Their secondary structure includes four short double-helical elements and three loops (D, anti-codon, and T loops). The record is from RNAcentral. Lineage: Bacteria; Bacillati; Bacillota.